RNAcentral lists this ribosomal RNA (407 nucleotides) under uncultured bacterium. RNAcentral's name for it is "bacterial SSU rRNA". It matches the Rfam family "Bacterial small subunit ribosomal RNA", at positions 355 to 776 of the family's 1533-position model. The record is from RNAcentral.
UGGGGAAUAUUGGGCAAUGGGCGAAAGCCUGACCCAGCAACGCCGCGUGAAGGAAGAAGGCUUUCGGGUUGUAAACUUCUUUUAUCAGGGACGAAGGAUGUGACGGUACCUGAUGAAUAAGCCACGGCUAACUACGUGCCAGCAGCCGCGGUAAUACGUAGGUGGCAAGCGUUGUCCGGAUUUACUGGGUGUAAAGGGCGCGUAGGCGGAGAGACAAGUCAGAUGUGAAAUCUAUGGGCUUAACCCAUAAACUGCAUUUGAAACUAUCUCCCUUGAGUGAUGGAGAGGCAAGCGGAAUUCCUAGUGUAGCGGUGAAAUGCGUAGAUAUUAGGAGGAACACCAGUGGCGAAGGCGGCUUGCUGGACAUUAACUGACGCUGAGGCGCGAAAGCGUGGGGAGCAAACAGG